This is a long non-coding RNA of Drosophila hydei, 1290 nucleotides long. RefSeq lists it as uncharacterized. The transcript is spliced from 4 exons. Lineage: Eukaryota; Metazoa; Arthropoda; Insecta; Diptera; Drosophilidae. The record is from RefSeq and is a predicted model, not a curated record.
UGUAUAUAUAAAGAAAGGCAAAACUAUUAUGGCCCUUGUGCUUAUUACUUGCUGACAUGCAAACACUUGCGCUCUCUGUCUGGCCAAACUAUGUCUCCUCUCUUCACUUUUCAACGGCUGUCCGCGCUGAUGCCAAGGACAAGGACAUGGCGAGCUGACUUUAAUUCGCGUGGUGAAUCAAAACAUAGUAUAAUGUCAUCAGUUAAAAUAUCGAGCGAGUUGAAUAUUUUGAAAUUGAAUAACGAUUGCCUUGGUAUCAUACUCAAGUACUUGGACGACUCUUAGUUUUAUGCUCGAUUCGCGCAGCUUAAAGCACAUACAAUGUUUGGAGAGACUGUCAUUAGAUGUCAAAGUAGCUGCCGAAGAUCUUCGGGAUCUAUGGCUAUACGAGGUUGCUGGAGAGCUGAGCGAUAUUGUGCCGCAUUGUCAGAACGUAAGGGAAAUAGCCUUUUCAAUGCUCAACUCACAUGAGUCCUUUGCAAGUCUUGCGGAGCUACCCAACUUGAAGAAACUUAUCAUCAAAUCCACAAAUGCAACUUUAUCUUGUGCUAAGCUUUUGCAGCUUCUCAAUGCAUUAAAUGCCAAUGAAAGUCAAUUAGGCAAUUAGUUUGAUAUUAUUCUCUAGCUUGAAUUUUGAACAGACAGCCAAAAUAAUCAAAUUGAAAUCGUUGAAAGAACUUCGCUGUGCUUUCGAGGACGCCAGAUGCAUUGAUCUCUUGACCGAUCUGACUGAACUUGAGGUGCUUUACAUAAUGCUGGAUAGUGGUGGAACUUUUGGCAAAGAGUGCCUUAACAUUCUCAGAUCUUGCAGAAAAAGGCCACUUCUGCACAUAAAUGCAAAUCUCUCAACAGACUUUCUAGGCAAGGCGUUGCAAGUUUUGGAAAAGCGCUGAUUUGAUAUAUGGGCUAGCGAAUAAGCGAGCCAUGCUCUCGACAUAAAUCAUCUAGACGAAAUAAUGAUGCAUUAAAAAUAACAAACAACACAGACGCUGGCAGCGUUGCGCCAAAGGCGUUUCAGUUUGUGACGUCACACUCCCGACACAAAAAAUUUGAACGAAUUUGAAUGCCUUUUGUCAGUGCGAAAUGAACUGCGAAAUGCUCUUUGGCCAAUUGCCAGGCGUAUUGUGUACGUUUGUCGUAUUUUGUAAUUGGUUGCAAUGGCCCAGCGCUACAAAAAGAAGCAAAGAACAGACCUUAAAGACCUUUACAUCUACGACUAUUCGAUACCCUGAACUAGCUUUGAUAUGUAUAUGUGCCAUAUAUCAAUGUGAGUCGGAAAUCUUGCACUCA